This is a long non-coding RNA of Ananas comosus (pineapple), 565 nucleotides long. RefSeq lists it as uncharacterized. The record is from RefSeq and is a predicted model, not a curated record. The transcript is spliced from 2 exons. NCBI's taxonomy places the organism in Eukaryota, Viridiplantae, Streptophyta, Magnoliopsida, Poales, Bromeliaceae.
CUUACUUGAACAGGAUCUGUUCUAUAGGUUGUACAACUGUGUCCUUGAGUGUAAAGGAGACAGGCAACAAAGUCUGGUGGAUGAAACAUGUCCUCAGAGCCAGAGCGUGAUUGACGGCUGAGAUUCGUUGCGAAUCUCCUGCUGUAGAGGAUCGUCCCUGACCGGCGAAAGCCAGUCGGGUUGGCUCUGAGAAUGUGGGGGGCGGCGCGGCAGGUGGGGUCGCAGACACCGACGACGUACGAGUCAGUGGCGGGUGGGGAGAACUGGACACGGAUGGACGUGCGGUCGGCGGAGGACGAGGGGCCGAUCCAGAUCGACAAGGACCAAGAAAAGGUCGACGACCCCGUCGCCGGAGACUGGCGAGUGAUAGCUAGUGGUUGGUACAAAUUUACUAUAUUUCUGAUGAAUUAAUGCAUGCAUGCAUGCAUAUGUAUGUUGUUGUGCGCGUAGUUUUAGUUUGUAUGUGAAUUUGUAUGAGUUUGUGUUUAUGUUGUUGUGCGCGUGGUUUUAGUAGUAUGCUUGUUUUGGUGUUUAUGAAUGAGAAUGUAUGCGUUUUGUUUUGUUU